Transfer RNA from Camelus ferus (Wild Bactrian camel), 72 nucleotides. It matches the Rfam family "tRNA". From Rfam's summary of the family: Transfer RNA (tRNA) molecules are approximately 80 nucleotides in length. Their secondary structure includes four short double-helical elements and three loops (D, anti-codon, and T loops). Lineage: Eukaryota; Metazoa; Chordata; Mammalia; Artiodactyla; Camelidae. The record is from Rfam.
GAGGGUAUAGCUCAGUGGUAGAGUGCCUGCUCAGCAUGCACGAGGUCCUGGGUUCAAUCCCCAGUGCCUCCA